Molecule: ribosomal RNA, 460 nt
Filed under: uncultured bacterium
Lineage: Bacteria
Description: partial 16S ribosomal RNA
Rfam family: Bacterial small subunit ribosomal RNA
Source: RNAcentral
GACGAACGCUGGCGGCGUGCUUAACACAUGCAAGUCGAGCGGUAAGGCCUCUUCGGGGGUACACGAGCGGCGCACGGGUGAGUAACACGUGGGUGACCUGCCCUCAGCUCUGGGAUAAGCCUGGGAAACUGGGUCUAAUACCGGCUAUGACCUUUCCUCGCAUGGGGUUUGGUGGAAAGUUUUUUCGGCUGGGGAUGGGCCCGCGGCCUAUCAGCUUGUUGGUGGGGUGAUGGCCUACCAAGGCGACGACGGGUAGCCGGCCUGAGAGGGCGACCGGCCACACUGGGACUGAGACACGGCCCAGACUCCUACGGGAGGCAGCAGUGGGGAAUAUUGCGCAAUGGGCGGAAGCCUGACGCAGCGACGCCGCGUGGGGGAUGACGGCCUUCGGGUUGUAAACCUCUUUCGACCCCGACGAAUUUGGACGGUAGGGGUAGAAGAAGCACCGGCCAACUACGUG